CCGUCUGCCCCGUGACUAUAUGUUUAACGGCCGCGGUAUCUUAACCGUGCAAAGGUAGCGUAAUCAUUUGUCUUUUAAUUGAGGACCCGUAUGAAUGACAAAACGAGGGCUCAACUGUCUCCUUCUUUUAGUCAAUGAAAUUGAUUUCCCCGUGCAGAAGCGGGGAUAAGCACAUAAGACGAGAAGACCCUAUGAAGCUUUAGACACCCGGACAUCUCCUGUUAAAACCCCCCAAUUAAAGGACUAAAACCUAUCGACCCAUGUCCCCGUCUUAGGUUGGGGCGACCCUGGGGAACAAAAAUCCCCCACGUGGAAUAGUAGCCUAGCUACCCACAACCAAGAGCCACAGCUCUAAAAACCAGAAUCUCUGACCAUAAAUGACCCGGCAAUGCCGAUCAACGAACCAAGUUACUCUAGGGAUAACAGCGCAAUCCCCUUUUUAGAGGCCGCAUCAACAAGGGGGUUUACGACCUCGAUGUUGGAUCAGGACAUCCUAAUGGUGCAGCCGCUAUUAAGGGUUCGUUUGUUCAACGAUUAAAGUCCU
Molecule: ribosomal RNA, 544 nt
Filed under: Trichiurus brevis (Chinese short-tailed hairtail)
Lineage: Eukaryota; Metazoa; Chordata; Actinopteri; Scombriformes; Trichiuridae
Description: partial 16S ribosomal RNA
Rfam family: Bacterial large subunit ribosomal RNA
Source: RNAcentral